CUAAAUUUAUUAUUGUUAUGCAUCCAUCAUGUCAAAGAUUCGGAGUUGAAGUGUUCAUAUCUGACGAAGAUGACUACCAAACUCCAUGGUGUCCACAUGCAAUAACUCUUUAAUAAUGAUGCAAUCAAAUUCUUUUUGAACACUUUUGAAACUCUUGGUUACCAGAAGAUAAUUUGUGUAGGUACUCCUAGAAUACAUGAAGCAAUUCAAACUAGAAAAGCUGCUG
Xenia sp. Carnegie-2017 is the source of this 226-nucleotide long non-coding RNA. RefSeq lists it as uncharacterized. The transcript is spliced from 3 exons. NCBI's taxonomy places the organism in Eukaryota, Metazoa, Cnidaria, Anthozoa, Malacalcyonacea, Xeniidae. The record is from RefSeq and is a predicted model, not a curated record.